GACGAACGCUGGCGGCGUGCUUAACACAUGCAAGUCGAACGGAAAGGCCCUGCUUUUGUGGGGUGCUCGAGUGGCGAACGGGUGAGUAACACGUGAGUAACCUGCCCUUGACUUUGGGAUAACUUCAGGAAACUGGGGCUAAUACCGGAUAGGAGCUCCUGCUGCAUGGUGGGGGUUGGAAAGUUUCGGCGGUUGGGGAUGGACUCGCGGCUUAUCAGCUUGUUGGUGGGGUAGUGGCUUACCAAGGCUUUGACGGGUAGCCGGCCUGAGAGGGUGACCGGCCACAUUGGGACUGAGAUACGGCCCAGACUCCUACGGGAGGCAGCAGUGGGGAAUAUUGCACAAUGGGCGGAAGCCUGAUGCAGCAACGCCGCGUGCGGGAUGACGGCCUUCGGGUUGUAAACCGCUUUCGCCUGUGACGAAGCGUGAGUGACGGUAAUGGGUAAAGAAGCACCGGCUAACUACGUGCCAGCAGCCGCGGUGAUACGUAGGGUGCGAGCGUUGUCCGGAUUUAUUGGGCGUAAAGGGCUCGUAGGUGGUUGAUCGCGUCGGAAGUGUAAUCUUGGGGCUUAACCCUGAGCGUGCUUUCGAUACGGGUUGACUUGAGGAAGGUAGGGGAGAAUGGAACUCCUGGUGGAGCGGUGGAAUGCGCAGAUAUCAGGAGGAACACCAGUGGCGAAGGCGGUUCUCUGGGCCUUUCCUGACGCUGAGGAGCGAAAGCGUGGGGAGCGAACAGGCUUAGAUACCCUGGUAGUCCACGCUGUAAACGGUGGGUACUAGGUGUGGGGUCCAUUCCACGGGUUCCGUGCCGUAGCUAACGCUUUAAGUACCCCGCCUGGGGAGUACGGCCGCAAGGCUAAAACUCAAAGGAAUUGACGGGGCCCCGCACAAGCGGCGGAGCAUGCGGAUUAAUUCGAUGCAACGCGUAGAACCUUACCUGGGUUUGACAUGGAUCGGGAGUGCUCAGAGAUGGGUGUGCCUCUUUUGGGGUCGGUUCACAGGUGGUGCAUGGCUGUCGUCAGCUCGUGUCGUGAGAUGUUGGGUUAAGUCCCGCAACGAGCGCAACCCUUGUUCACUGUUGCCAGCACGUUAUGGUGGGGACUCAGUGGAGACCGCCGGGGUCAACUCGGAGGAAGGUGGGGAUGACGUCAAGUCAUCAUGCCCCUUAUGUCCAGGGCUUCACGCAUGCUACAAUGGCUGGUACAGAGAGUGGCGAGCCUGUGAGGGUGAGCGAAUCUCGGAAAGCCGGUCUCAGUUCGGAUUGGGGUCUGCAACUCGACCCCAUGAAGUCGGAGUCGCUAGUAAUCGCAGAUCAGCAACGCUGCGAUGAAUACGUUCCCGGG
Molecule: ribosomal RNA, 1343 nt
Filed under: uncultured bacterium
Lineage: Bacteria
Description: 16S ribosomal RNA
Rfam family: Bacterial small subunit ribosomal RNA
Source: RNAcentral